Molecule: ribosomal RNA, 747 nt
Filed under: uncultured bacterium
Lineage: Bacteria
Description: bacterial SSU rRNA
Rfam family: Bacterial small subunit ribosomal RNA
Source: RNAcentral
GCAACCUGCCCAAAAGAGGGGGAGUAACACUUGGAAACAGGUGCUAAUACCGCAUAACCAUAGUUACCGCAUGGUAACUAUGUAAAAGGUGGCUAUGCUACCGCUUUUGGAUGGGCCCGCGACGCAUUAGCUAGUUGGUGGGGUAAAGGCUUACCAAGGCAAUGAUGCGUAGCCGAACUGAGAGGUUGAUCGGCCACAUUGGGACUGAGACACGGCCCAAACUCCUACGGGAGGCAGCAGUAGGGAAUCUUCCACAAUGGGCGAAAGCCUGAUGGAGCAACGCCGCGUGGGUGACGAAGGUCUUCGGAUCGUAAAACCCUGUUGUUAGAGAAGAAAGUGCGUGAGAGUAACUGUUCACGUUUCGACGGUAUCUAACCAGAAAGCCACGGCUAACUACGUGCCAGCAGCCGCGGUAAUACGUAGGUGGCAAGCGUUAUCCGGAUUUAUUGGGCGUAAAGAGAACGCAGGCGGUCUUUUAAGUCUGAUGUGAAAGCCUUCGGCUUAACCGGAGUAGUGCAUUGGAAACUGGGAGACUUGAGUGCAGAAGAGGAGAGUGGAACUCCAUGUGUAGCGGUGAAAUACGUAGAUAAAUGGAAGAACACCAGUGGCGAAAGCGGCUCUCUGGUCUGUAACUGACGCUGAGGUUCGAAAGCGUGGGUAGCAAACAGGAUUAGAUACCCUGGUAGUCCACGCCGUANACGAUGAAUGCUAAGUGUUGGAGGGUUUCCGCCCUUCAGUGCUGCAGCU